RNAcentral lists this unclassified non-coding RNA (238 nucleotides) under uncultured Russula. RNAcentral's name for it is "sequence contains ITS2". The record is from RNAcentral. Lineage: Eukaryota; Fungi; Basidiomycota; Agaricomycetes; Russulales; Russulaceae.
CAUUCUCAAAACCUUCUCGGUUUCUCGACUGGGAAGGCUUUGGACUUUGGAGGCUUUUGCUGACCUUCCUUUGUUGGAACCAGCUCCUCUGAAAUGAAUUAGUAGGGUCUACUUUGCCGAUCCUUGACGUGAUAAAAUGUUUUCUACGUCUCGGGUUUUGCACUGUUUUGUCCUGGAUCCUGCUUCUAACCGUCUCUCAGAAGACAGAUGGUCGAGUGAAUGUCGCUCGACCCACGAA